Molecule: ribosomal RNA, 346 nt
Filed under: uncultured bacterium
Lineage: Bacteria
Description: partial 16S ribosomal RNA
Rfam family: Bacterial small subunit ribosomal RNA
Source: RNAcentral
CCUACGGGUGGCAGCAGUGAGGAAUAUUGGUCAAUGGGCGCGAGCCUGAACCAGCCAAGUAGCGUGAAGGAUGACUGCCCUACGGGUUGUAAACUUCUGUUAUAAAGGAAUAAAGUGAGGCACGUGGGCCUUUUUGUAGGUACUUUAUGAAUAAGGAUCGGCUAACUCCGUGCCAGCAGCCGCGGUAAUACGGAGGAUCCGAGCGUUAUCCGGAUUUAUUGGGUUUAAAGGGAGCGUAGAUGGGUUGUUAAGUCAGUGGUGACAGUUUGCGGCUCAACCUUAAAAUUGCAAUUGAUACUGGCAGUCUUUCGUACAGUUGCGGUAGGCUGACUUCGUGGUGUAGCGG